Molecule: ribosomal RNA, 2906 nt
Filed under: Shigella flexneri
Lineage: Bacteria; Pseudomonadati; Pseudomonadota; Gammaproteobacteria; Enterobacterales; Enterobacteriaceae
Description: 23S ribosomal RNA
Rfam family: Bacterial large subunit ribosomal RNA
Source: RNAcentral
GGUUAAGCGACUAAGCGUACACGGUGGAUGCCCUGGCAGUCAGAGGCGAUGAAGGACGUGCUAAUCUGCGAUAAGCGUCGGUAAGGUGAUAUGAACCGUUAUAACCGGCGAUUUCCGAAUGGGGGAAACCCAGUGUGUUUCGACACACUAUCAUUAACUGAAUCCAUAGGUUAAUGAGGCGAACCGGGGGAACUGAAACAUCUAAGUACCCCGAGGAAAAGAAAUCAACCGAGAUUCCCCCCAGUAGCGGCGAGCGAACGGGGAGCAGCCCAGAGCCUGAAUCAGUGUGUGUGUUAGUGGAAGCGUCUGGAAAGGCGCGCGAUACAGGGUGACAGCCCCGUACACAAAAAUGCACAUGCUGUGAGCUCGAUGAGUAGGGCGGGACACGUGGUAUCCUGUCUGAAUAUGGGGGGACCAUCCUCCAAGGCUAAAUACUCCUGACUGACCGAUAGUGAACCAGUACCGUGAGGGAAAGGCGAAAAGAACCCCGGCGAGGGGAGUGAAAAAGAACCUGAAACCGUGUACGUACAAGCAGUGGGAGCACGCUUAGGCGUGUGACUGCGUACCUUUUGUAUAAUGGGUCAGCGACUUAUAUUCUGUAGCAAGGUUAACCGAAUAGGGGAGCCGAAGGGAAACCGAGUCUUAACUGGGCGUUAAGUUGCAGGGUAUAGACCCGAAACCCGGUGAUCUAGCCAUGGGCAGGUUGAAGGUUGGGUAACACUAACUGGAGGACCGAACCGACUAAUGUUGAAAAAUUAGCGGAUGACUUGUGGCUGGGGGUGAAAGGCCAAUCAAACCGGGAGAUAGCUGGUUCUCCCCGAAAGCUAUUUAGGUAGCGCCUCGUGAACUCAUCUCCGGGGGUAGAGCACUGUUUCGGCAAGGGGGUCAUCCCGACUUACCAACCCGAUGCAAACUGCGAAUACCGGAGAAUGUUAUCACGGGAGACACACGGCGGGUGCUAACGUCCGUCGUGAAGAGGGAAACAACCCAGACCGCCAGCUAAGGUCCCAAAGUCAUGGUUAAGUGGGAAACGAUGUGGGAAGGCCCAGACAGCCAGGAUGUUGGCUUAGAAGCAGCCAUCAUUUAAAGAAAGCGUAAUAGCUCACUGGUCGAGUCGGCCUGCGCGGAAGAUGUAACGGGGCUAAACCAUGCACCGAAGCUGCGGCAGCGACGCUUAUGCGUUGUUGGGUAGGGGAGCGUUCUGUAAGCCUGUGAAGGUGUGCUGUGAGGCAUGCUGGAGGUAUCAGAAGUGCGAAUGCUGACAUAAGUAACGAUAAAGCGGGUGAAAAGCCCGCUCGCCGGAAGACCAAGGGUUCCUGUCCAACGUUAAUCGGGGCAGGGUGAGUCGACCCCUAAGGCGAGGCCGAAAGGCGUAGUCGAUGGGAAACAGGUUAAUAUUCCUGUACUUGGUGUUACUGCGAAGGGGGGACGGAGAAGGCUAUGUUGGCCGGGCGACGGUUGUCCCGGUUUAAGCGUGUAGGCUGGUUUUCCAGGCAAAUCCGGAAAAUCAAGGCUGAGGCGUGAUGACGAGGCACUACGGUGCUGAAGCAACAAAUGCCCUGCUUCCAGGAAAAGCCUCUAAGCAUCAGGUAACAUCAAAUCGUACCCCAAACCGACACAGGUGGUCAGGUAGAGAAUACCAAGGCGCUUGAGAGAACUCGGGUGAAGGAACUAGGCAAAAUGGUGCCGUAACUUCGGGAGAAGGCACGCUGAUAUGUAGGUGAAGCGACUUGCUCGUGGAGCUGAAAUCAGUCGAAGAUACCAGCUGGCUGCAACUGUUUAUUAAAAACACAGCACUGUGCAAACACGAAAGUGGACGUAUACGGUGUGACGCCUGCCCGGUGCCGGAAGGUUAAUUGAUGGGGUUAGCGCAAGCGAAGCUCUUGAUCGAAGCCCCGGUAAACGGCGGCCGUAACUAUAACGGUCCUAAGGUAGCGAAAUUCCUUGUCGGGUAAGUUCCGACCUGCACGAAUGGCGUAAUGAUGGCCAGGCUGUCUCCACCCGAGACUCAGUGAAAUUGAACUCGCUGUGAAGAUGCAGUGUACCCGCGGCAAGACGGAAAGACCCCGUGAACCUUUACUAUAGCUUGACACUGAACAUUGAGCCUUGAUGUGUAGGAUAGGUGGGAGGCUUUGAAGUGUGGACGCCAGUCUGCAUGGAGCCGACCUUGAAAUACCACCCUUUAAUGUUUGAUGUUCUAACGUUGACCCGUAAUCCGGGUUGCGGACAGUGUCUGGUGGGUAGUUUGACUGGGGCGGUCUCCUCCUAAAGAGUAACGGAGGAGCACGAAGGUUGGCUAAUCCUGGUCGGACAUCAGGAGGUUAGUGCAAUGGCAUAAGCCAGCUUGACUGCGAGCGUGACGGCGCGAGCAGGUGCGAAAGCAGGUCAUAGUGAUCCGGUGGUUCUGAAUGGAAGGGCCAUCGCUCAACGGAUAAAAGGUACUCCGGGGAUAACAGGCUGAUACCGCCCAAGAGUUCAUAUCGACGGCGGUGUUUGGCACCUCGAUGUCGGCUCAUCACAUCCUGGGGCUGAAGUAGGUCCCAAGGGUAUGGCUGUUCGCCAUUUAAAGUGGUACGCGAGCUGGGUUUAGAACGUCGUGAGACAGUUCGGUCCCUAUCUGCCGUGGGCGCUGGAGAACUGAGGGGGGCUGCUCCUAGUACGAGAGGACCGGAGUGGACGCAUCACUGGUGUUCGGGUUGUCAUGCCAAUGGCACUGCCCGGUAGCUAAAUGCGGAAGAGAUAAGUGCUGAAAGCAUCUAAGCACGAAACUUGCCCCGAGAUGAGUUCUCCCUGACCCUUUAAGGGUCCUGAAGGAACGUUGAAGACGACGACGUUGAUAGGCCGGGUGUGUAAGCGCAGCGAUGCGUUGAGCUAACCGGUACUAAUGAACCGUGAGGCUUAACCUU